Molecule: ribosomal RNA, 301 nt
Filed under: uncultured bacterium
Lineage: Bacteria
Description: partial 16S ribosomal RNA
Rfam family: Bacterial small subunit ribosomal RNA
Source: RNAcentral
CAGCAGCCACGGGAACACGAAGGGUGCAAGCGUUAAUCGGAAUUACUGGGCGUAAAGCGUGCGUAGGCGGUUCGUUAAGUCUGUUGUGAAAUCCCCGGGCUCAACCUGGGAAUGGCAAUGGAUACUGGCAAGCUAGAGUGUGUCAGAGGAUGGUGGAAUUCCCGGUGUAGCGGUGAAAUGCGUAGAGAUCGGGAGGAACAUCAGUGGCGAAGGCGGCCAUCUGGGACAACACUGACGCUGAGGCACGAAAGCGUGGGGAGCAAACAGGAUUAGAUACCCCAGUAGUCCCUGUCUCUUAUAC